Molecule: long non-coding RNA, 608 nt
Filed under: Mustela putorius furo (domestic ferret)
Lineage: Eukaryota; Metazoa; Chordata; Mammalia; Carnivora; Mustelidae
Description: lncRNA (ENSMPUG00000030064.1)
Source: RNAcentral
AUGGCAUUCUCACACCCCAAGGGUCUUCUGGAGGGUUCUGUCUUGGGACUUACUAGGAUCCCAGAGCCAGGACACGGCCCCAUAGGCUCACUGGGCUCUCAGGGGUUCUCAGACACCCCUGUGGGGACCCCCCGCAAUGAAUCUGUCAGGGGGAUAACUUGCGGGCAUGCCUGCCAGCAGCAUUCAGGGCCUGCCUGCCUCUGGGGCUGGCCUGGCCCCAGGGUCCCAGCACAGCCGAUGCCGCCCCAGACAUCUGACUGCGAGAACAGUGGCGUCUGCCACAUCACGGGGCUCUCGGUUUCAUCCUGUUUCACGCGUGUAAGACUCAACAGAGAUGCCCGAGGGAGGGUCAGACCCAGCCAGGAAUGUAGAGCUUUUCUAGCCAAAUUACUUCCCGUCAGACGGCGCUGGACAAACACAUGGACGGAGUCAGACAAAGGAGAAGAGGAAGCCCAUCUUGAUGGGGAUGCGAGGCGAUGCUCACUCCUAGAGAGCGAGAGAGUGCUGGAGGAGCGGCAGCAGGAGAGGGAGAGUGAGAAUCUCAAGCUGACUCCAGGAUCAGUGCAGAGCCUGAUGUGGGGCUAGAUCCCACAACCCCAAGACCAUGA